GAUGAACGCUGGCGGCGUGCUUAAUACAUGCAAGUCGAACGGAGAUAAUUUAAAGUUUACUUUGAAUUAUCUUAGUGGCGGAUGGGUGAGUAACGCGUGAGUAACCUGCCUUUCAGUGUGGGAUAGCUUCUUGAAAAGGAAGGUAAUACCACAUAACAUUCAAAGAUCGCAUGAUCAUUGAAUCAAAGGAGCAAUUCGCUGAAAGAUGGACUCGCGUCCGAUUAGCUAGUUGGUGAGAUAACAGCCCACCAAGGCGACGAUCGGUAGCUGGACUGAGAGGUUGAACAGCCACACUGGGACUGAGACACGGCCCAGACUCCUACGGGAGGCAGCAGUAAGGGAUAUUGCGCAAUGGAGGAAACUCUGACGCAGCAACGCCGCGUGAAGGAAGACGGUUUUCGGAUUGUAAACUUCUUUUGUUAGGGACGAUAGUGACUGUACCUAACGAAUAAGCUCCGGCUAACUACGUG
Molecule: ribosomal RNA, 470 nt
Filed under: uncultured bacterium
Lineage: Bacteria
Description: bacterial SSU rRNA
Rfam family: Bacterial small subunit ribosomal RNA
Source: RNAcentral